UGGCUCAGGACGAACGCUGGCGGCGUGCUUAACACAUGCAAGUCGAACGGUACUUCCUGAGUAGUAAUACGAAGGUUGUAUAGUGGCGGACGGGUGAGUAACGCGUGAGCAAUCUGCCUUUAAGAGGGGGACAACAGCUGGAAACGGCUGCUAAUACCGCAUAAGACCACAGUGUCGCAUGGCACAGGGGUAAAAGGAGCAAUCCGCUUAAAGAUGAGCUCGCGUCCCAUUAGCUAGUUGGUGAGGUAACGGCUCACCAAGGCUGCGAUGGGUAGCCGACCUGAGAGGGUGAUCGGCCACACUGGAACUGAGACACGGUCCAGACUCCUACGGGAGGCAGCAGUGGGGAAUAUUGGGCAAUGGAGGCAAACCUCUGACCCAGCAACGCCGCGUGAGGGAAGAAGGUUUUCGGAUUGUAAACCUCUGUCCUUGGGGACGAAGAAAGUGACGGUACCCAAGGAGGAAGCCCCGGCUAACUACGUGCCAGCAGCUGC
Molecule: ribosomal RNA, 494 nt
Filed under: uncultured bacterium
Lineage: Bacteria
Description: bacterial SSU rRNA
Rfam family: Bacterial small subunit ribosomal RNA
Source: RNAcentral